UGUCAUGCUUUUCCACAGCUUUCUUGAACUUUCUUCAUGUUUUCUAUGUGCUGUGAUAUGAUGAUAUAUCGAUCAAUCAGCAUUGCAGAUAUAUGUGCACUGAGGAAGUUGAAGAAAGCUGUGGGAAGACAUGCCAU
This 137-nucleotide microRNA precursor is filed under the name Daucus carota subsp. sativus. RNAcentral describes it as "sRNA DCAR_mi00133". Lineage: Eukaryota; Viridiplantae; Streptophyta; Magnoliopsida; Apiales; Apiaceae. The record is from RNAcentral.